AUAACGGUCCUAAGGUAGCGAAAUUCCUUGUCGGGUAAGUUCCGACCUGCACGAAUGGCAUAACGAUGGCCACACUGUCUCCUCCCGAGACUCAGUGAAGUUGAAAUGUUUGUGAUGAUGCAAUCUACCCGCGGCUAGACGGAAAGACCCCAUGAACCUUUACUGCAGCUUUGCAUUGAACUGUGAACCGAUUUGUGUAGGAUAGGUGGGAGGCAGAGAAGAGGCCACGCCAGUGGUCUUGGAGCCGACCUUGAAAUACCACCCUGAUUUGUUUGCGGUUCUAACCACGGACAGUGAUCCUGUCUUGGGACCGUGCAUGGUAGGCAGUUUGACUGGGGCGGUCUCCUCCUAAAGGGUAACGGAGGAGUACGAAGGUACGCUAGGUACGGUCGGAAAUCGUGCUGAUAGUGCAAUGGCAAAAGCGUGCUUGACUGCGAGAGCAACAACUCGAGCAGAUGCGAAAGCAGGUCAUAGUGAUCCGGUGGCUCUGAAUGGAAGGGCCAUCGCUCAACGGAUAAAAGGUACUCUGGGGAUAACAGGCUGAUACCGCCCAAGAGUUCAUAUCGACGGCGGUGUUUGGCACCUCGAUGUCGGCUCAUCUCAUCCUGGGGCUGUAGUCGGUCCCAAGGGUAUGGCUGUUCGCCAUUUAAAGAGGUACGUGAGCUGGGUUUAAAACGUCGUGAGACAGUUUGGUCCCUAUCUGCCGUGGGCGUUGGAAGAUUGACGGGGGCUGCUCCUAGUACGAGAGGACCGGAGUGGACGCACCUCUGGUGUACCGGUUGUCACGCCAGUGGCAUUGCCGGGUAGCUAAGUGCGGAAGAGAUAACCGCUGAAAGCAUCUAAGCGGGAAACUUGCCUGAAGAUGAGUCUUCCCGGAGGUAAAACCUCCCUCAAGAGUCGUCCGAGACCAGGACGUCGAUAGGUCAGGUGUGUAAGCGCUGUGAGGCGUUGAGCUAACUGAUACUAAUUGCUCGUGAGGCUUGAUCCU
This 988-nucleotide ribosomal RNA is filed under the name human gut metagenome. RNAcentral describes it as "bacterial LSU rRNA". It matches the Rfam family "Bacterial large subunit ribosomal RNA", at positions 1942 to 2925 of the family's 2925-position model. The record is from RNAcentral.